CAAACAGGGAUAGUUUCACUGUGUUCCUAUUUAGAUGGCCUUUAUUUUCUUGUUUUGCCUGAUUGUUCUGGCCAGGACUUCCAGUACUAUGUUUAGUAUGAGUGGAGACAGGGGGCAUCCUUGUCUUAUGCCAGUUUUCAAGGUGAAAGCUUCCAGCCUUUCCCCAUUCAGUAUAAUGCUGGCUGUCGGUUGCUCCCAGAUGGCUCUUAUCUCGAGGUAUAUUCCUUUAAUACCUAGUUUACUGAGAUUUUUUUACAUAAAGUGAUGUUGAAUUUUAUCAAAAGCCUUGUCUACAUCUAUUGACAUAAUCAUGGGGUUUUUGUCUUUAGUUCUGUGUAUGUGCUAGAUUACAUGUAUUGAUUUGCAUAUGUUGAACCAACCUUGCAUACCUGACAUGUCUAUUUGAUUGUGGUGGAUUAUCAUUUUGAUGUGCUGCUGGAUUCGGUUUGCAAGUAUUUUUUUUCUUUUUUUUUUUUCUUGAUUGUUUCCUUUGCUGUGCAGAAGCUUUUUGACUUAAUUAGAUACAAUUUAUCCAUUUUACUUUGGUUGCCUGUGCUUGUGCAGUAUUACUCAAGGUUCCUUUGCCC
Molecule: long non-coding RNA, 587 nt
Filed under: Homo sapiens (human)
Lineage: Eukaryota; Metazoa; Chordata; Mammalia; Primates; Hominidae
Description: non-protein coding lnc-SLC6A14-3:1
Source: RNAcentral